UAUGGCCCUUAUUGAAGCUAUGGCUCCUUCUACUUAACUUCAGUGGUCAAGAAAGAACCCUAAACAACAAGGGCAACAAAAGGGGAAAAUAAAUAAAUAAAUCUUUUUAAAAGUCAUUAAAAAAAGAACCCAAAGUGACAGUUUUCCUUUUCAAAGUUGUUUUUAUUGCAACUGAUCCGCCACAGUGUAGGAAAAGACAAUU
Molecule: small nucleolar RNA, 202 nt
Organism: Erinaceus europaeus (western European hedgehog)
Lineage: Eukaryota; Metazoa; Chordata; Mammalia; Eulipotyphla; Erinaceidae
Source: RefSeq, a predicted model, not a curated record